Molecule: transfer RNA, 85 nt
Filed under: Anaerolineales bacterium
Lineage: Bacteria; Bacillati; Chloroflexota; Anaerolineae; Anaerolineales
Description: tRNA-Leu
Rfam family: tRNA
About the family: Transfer RNA (tRNA) molecules are approximately 80 nucleotides in length. Their secondary structure includes four short double-helical elements and three loops (D, anti-codon, and T loops). Further hydrogen bonds mediate the characteristic L-shaped molecular structure. tRNAs have two regions of fundamental functional importance: the anti-codon, which is responsible for specific mRNA codon recognition, and the 3' end, to which the tRNAs corresponding amino acid is attached (by aminoacyl-tRNA synthetases). tRNAs cope with the degeneracy of the genetic code in two manners: having more than one tRNA (with a specific anti-codon) for a particular amino acid; and 'wobble' base-pairing, i.e. permitting non-standard base-pairing at the 3rd anti-codon position.
Source: RNAcentral
GGGGCGAUGGCGGAAUUGGCAGACGCCGCGGACUUAAAAUCCGCUGUGGUAAUCCCACGUGAGAGUUCGAUCCUCUCUCGCCCCA